This 994-nucleotide ribosomal RNA is filed under the name Neisseria perflava. RNAcentral describes it as "bacterial SSU rRNA". It matches the Rfam family "Bacterial small subunit ribosomal RNA", at positions 56 to 1039 of the family's 1533-position model. The record is from RNAcentral. Lineage: Bacteria; Pseudomonadati; Pseudomonadota; Betaproteobacteria; Neisseriales; Neisseriaceae.
UGCAAGUCGGACGGCAGCACAGAGAAGCUUGCUUCUUGGGUGGCGAGUGGCGAACGGGUGAGUAACAUAUCGGAACGUACCGAGUAAUGGGGGAUAACUAAUCGAAAGAUUAGCUAAUACCGCAUAUUCUCUGAGGAGGAAAGCAGGGGACCUUCGGGCCUUGCGUUAUUCGAGCGGCCGAUAUCUGAUUAGCUAGUUGGUGGGGUAAAGGCCUACCAAGGCGACGAUCAGUAGCGGGUCUGAGAGGAUGAUCCGCCACACUGGGACUGAGACACGGCCCAGACUCCUACGGGAGGCAGCAGUGGGGAAUUUUGGACAAUGGGCGCAAGCCUGAUCCAGCCAUGCCGCGUGUCUGAAGAAGGCCUUCGGGUUGUAAAGGACUUUUGUCAGGGAAGAAAAGGCUGUUGCUAAUACCGACAGUUGAUGACGGUACCUGAAGAAUAAGCACCGGCUAACUACGUGCCAGCAGCCGCGGUAAUACGUAGGGUGCGAGCGUUAAUCGGAAUUACUGGGCGUAAAGCGAGCGCAGACGGUUACUUAAGCAGGAUGUGAAAUCCCCGGGCUCAACCUGGGAACUGCGUUCUGAACUGGGUGACUAGAGUGUGUCAGAGGGAGGUAGAAUUCCACGUGUAGCAGUGAAAUGCGUAGAGAUGUGGAGGAAUACCGAUGGCGAAGGCAGCCUCCUGGGAUAACACUGACGUUCAUGCUCGAAAGCGUGGGUAGCAAACAGGAUUAGAUACCCUGGUAGUCCACGCCCUAAACGAUGUCAAUUAGCUGUUGGGCAACUUGAUUGCUUAGUAGCGUAGCUAACGCGUGAAAUUGACCGCCUGGGGAGUACGGUCGCAAGAUUAAAACUCAAAGGAAUUGACGGGGACCCGCACAAGCGGUGGAUGAUGUGGAUUAAUUCGAUGCAACGCGAAGAACCUUACCUGGUCUUGACAUGUACGGAAUCCUCCAGAGACGGAGGAAUGCCUUCGGGAACCGUAACACAGGU